AGCACGUUAUGGUGGGCACUCUAAGGAGACUGCCGGUGGACAACCGGAGGAAGGUAGGGGAUGACGUCAAGUCAUCAUGGCCCUUACGGCCUGGGCUACACACGUGCUACAAUGGUCGGUACAAAGGGUUGCCAAGCCGCGAGGUGGAGCUAAUCCCAUAAAACCGAUCGUAGUCCGGAUCGCAGUCUGCAACUCGACUGCGUGAAGUCGGAAUCGCUAGUAAUCGUGAAUCAGAAUGUCACGGUGAAUACGUUCCCGGGCCUU
RNAcentral lists this ribosomal RNA (264 nucleotides) under uncultured Pseudomonas sp. Its description in RNAcentral is "partial 16S ribosomal RNA". It matches the Rfam family "Bacterial small subunit ribosomal RNA", at positions 1120 to 1382 of the family's 1533-position model. Lineage: Bacteria; Pseudomonadati; Pseudomonadota; Gammaproteobacteria; Pseudomonadales; Pseudomonadaceae. The record is from RNAcentral.